RNAcentral lists this ribosomal RNA (256 nucleotides) under uncultured bacterium. RNAcentral's name for it is "partial 16S ribosomal RNA". It matches the Rfam family "Bacterial small subunit ribosomal RNA", at positions 524 to 776 of the family's 1533-position model. The record is from RNAcentral.
UACGUAGGGCGCAAGCGUUAUCCGGAAUUAUUGGGCGUAAAGAGCUCGUAGGCGGUUUGUCGCGUCUGCUGUGAAAACUCGAGGCUCAACCUCGGGCUUGCAGUGGGUACGGGCAGACUAGAGUGCGGUAGGGGAGACUGGAAUUCCUGGUGUAGCGGUGGAAUGCGCAGAUAUCAGGAGGAACACCGAUGGCGAAGGCAGGUCUCUGGGCCGCAACUGACGCUGGAGGAAGCGGAAAGCAUGGGGAGCGAACAGG